Small nuclear RNA from Cebus imitator (Panamanian white-faced capuchin), 162 nucleotides. Its record names the gene U1. It matches the Rfam family "U1 spliceosomal RNA". Rfam says of the family: U1 is a small nuclear RNA (snRNA) component of the spliceosome (involved in pre-mRNA splicing). Its 5' end forms complementary base pairs with the 5' splice junction, thus defining the 5' donor site of an intron. Lineage: Eukaryota; Metazoa; Chordata; Mammalia; Primates; Cebidae. The record is from Ensembl.
AUACUUACCUGGUAGGGGCGAUACCAUGAUCAUGAAGGUCAUUUUCCCAGGGUGAGGCAAAUCCAUUGCCCUCUGGAUAUACUGACCUCUGUGAUUUCCCCAAAUGUGGGAAAUGACAGUAUAAUUUGUGGUAAUGGGGGACAGUGUUCGUGCUUUCCCCUG